Long non-coding RNA from Bombina bombina (fire-bellied toad), 246 nucleotides. RefSeq lists it as uncharacterized. The transcript has 2 exons. The record is from RefSeq and is a predicted model, not a curated record. Lineage: Eukaryota; Metazoa; Chordata; Amphibia; Anura; Bombinatoridae.
CUAUCAUCAGAGGUCCACUCAAGCCUGAAGAAAAGGCAAGAAGGAGACUUCAUAAACUUUGCUUAUAUUGCGCUGCUAAGGACCAUGGUGUCAGGGAGUGUCCCACACUUAUCAGACAAAAGAAGGUGGCAUCAGCAGAAGAAAAAGAACCAGGCCGUAAUUGAUUCUGGUGCUUCUGGGAAUUUUAUUGAUAUCACUUUUGUUCUUGACAAUAAAAUCCCCCUAAUAAAGAAAAGUAAUUCACUA